AGAGCAACGAACUAGACAGUUCAUUCCUUUCUUCCUUUCUUGUUUUCUUUCUAAAAUAGAAUCGAGUGUGAGGAAAAAGAAUUUUGCAAGCUUCACCAUCAGCUAACCAAAAUAAAGCAAACAAAGGCAGAGAGACAGGAGAGAUAGCUGGUGCAGACGUGAGGGAACAAGCUGGAAAGAAAAUCUAAUCCUGUCUGCAAUUCCUAACACUAAAAGGCAAAAGGUAAAUUUUUGUGACUAAUCUCUACUUACUGAGUAUAAAUAAGUGUAUAUUCGAAUUGUAAGCCGAGUAUUAGCAGAGGAAAUUGAGCUUCGACUGAGGAAAAAUUCUGGUUUGAAAUCUGAAGGUUCACUGACUGGACCUGUGAGAAUUGAGUGAUGAUCGACUGAAAUUGCAGGUUGUUAUCAAAGGAAAAUGGAAGAGUGUUGUAGAAAAUGUAUGAAAAUGCCUGUUUCUGGCAUAAAGUGAAAUUUAGCUGUAGAAACUUGUAAAAGUUGGAACUUUAAGCUGAAUUUAUUGAAAGAAACCUGAUGAAAAUCUGUUAGCUUCACACGAGAGAAAUGGAGCUAAGAAACAUUAGCUGUCUUCUGCAAAUUUGGCUUUUAAACUUUUGUAUCAAGCUGUGAUGUGUUAUAAAACAUCUUAACUUCGUCAAGCAAGACAGAAAUGAGUGGAAACUAAAGUGAACGAAGAAUGAAUUUAAUUGACUGCAGGUAGGUUGGCCGAGGGAAUGAAGCAGGCUAUGCAACUUGUUGUUGCUGAUUCUGGAACUUUUAUUAAUGAACACAUAGAAAAUAUGUUAAUCCCUUGAUUUAACAGAUAGGUGCCUUUGAAAUUAGCAACCUUAAGAAAAGUCUAGCUGAAUUUGGUAAAAGAAAGCUGAUGCAAUCUGCUAUGAUACUAAAGGGAAGGAAAUCAGCUUUUGGAGCAGCUUGUCUUCUAAUGUCUGAUUCUGUGAACUUCCACAGGUAGAACUAAGGUUACUCUGUGGUUUAGUAACUAUGACUAGUUCCAUGAGUAGAGUUGAACUAAGGCAAAUAGGGAGGAAAACUAUGAAAUGUGCUGCUGAAUUACCUCAUGGCCGAGAGAAGAAGGGAAGAGUUGAUCAGUCUUUUCCUCUAAGUUAGCUGCAAAAUUUUCCACGUUCUGUACAGGGUUACUUUGUAGCUUAAUAAAUGUAAUUAACCUGUCUAGUUGGGAUAUAAAAUUGGAAGGAGGAACUUGAGAGAAACGGCAAACGUUGGACUGAUAUAUUGCUAGGAAGCUACUUGAAGGCCACGAUAGCUGAUGGCAGUUUUUGUAGGGGAAUUUGGUCGAAAAACCUGUUGAAAUUAUGAGUCAUGUACCUUAAUUCAUGUUGGACAGAAUGUGUAUUGUGUGUUUGGUGAUCUAGGCAAGUAAAAGUUAGAAACUCUACCAAAAACUUUGAAGUAAGGUUGCUGGAAAUUUGUUUAAUGGCCGAGAGAGGGGCUGAAACUCUCAUGUGAUAUUUGGAAAAUUUCAUGAUAAUUGGCUACCAUCUUGAAUGAGACGUUGUACAAUAUCCUGUCACUGUUCUUAUGUGCACUCUAUUGACUUUUAACAUCUGAAAGGUUGGUAAAACCUUAGGAAAUUCUAGCUAAAACUAGUAAAGAAAAGCUGAGAUCCAAACUAUUACAUUGUUGGAGAAACUAACGUUUGAUGGAAUGGAUUGCUGGAAAUAGAUGCUGCUUACCUUGAUCUAUGCUAGACCGAAAGUACAUUGAAAUACUUAAAACUGUAAGCAAGUAAAAGAGUAAAGUUUUAUUGAAAACUUGAAGUAUACAGCUGGAAUUUCGGUUUGUUGGUUGAAAUGGGGGUUAGUUAAGCUUUCUAUGAUAUUUUUGGAAACUCUAAGGUAACUCGUUAUAGCUAUAUACAUAACAUGGUUUCAAAUCACCUAAUCUUGUCCUCACAAGCAUUUUAAAGAUUUUAGAACUUGAAAGAUUUUAGAACUUGAAGGACUAGUAUAGAGAAAUAAAAUCUAAAUUACAAAUGGCUUAAAGUUAAUUAAUAAAAGGGAAUCAAUGGAGUGUUCCUAAGCUUUAAUCUUAGAAUAUUCAGUGGAAAAUGGUUUAAUUAUAAUUUAAAUAUUUUAUAAAUUAUACACUUGGAAAAUACAUAUAUUUCUUGGUUUAAAAUGAUAAAGUCAAAAAGUCGCGAAAUGAAAUGUAGAAUAAAUAUUGAAUAUAUUAUAUUUUGUAUUUUGAAGUCAAACUUGAUUUUAAUAGUUCAAAUAAUAGGGUAAUAAAUGGUAAAUGAACAUUUACAAAUUGUAUAUUUUUUUAGAGUUAUAAAUUGUCUCAGGGGAUAGCUGUGAGCCAGGAAACAAACCCGAGACUCGAGAGUAAUUUAUUUGGAUAUUUGGUGAGUGUUUCCAAAAUUUAAUGUGUUUAACUGUUUAUGUUUACUGUCGCGCCCCUUUUUUGAGAAAACUAAAUAAACGGUUUAAAAAGUGAAUUUUUGAUUUGAAAAAUGAAUCUUUGAUUUAAAAAGAAAAAUGGGCCUAAAUGGACUUGUAAUGCGACGAUUUGGGCCCAAAAUAAGGUUUAAAAAGGGUUUUUGAAUAGAAAAUCGGAGUCGCCACUUGGUAUUGAGUUAAGGUGUACCAAGUCACCUAAAAAUGAAUUUUGAUGAAAUCAUGUAAAACCCUUUUUAAACGACUCCUAAGUCUACGAAAAUUAGAGAAAAAAGAUUCGGGAGUCACAUUUGAAGAAAGGGAAGGCAAGGACAAAAAUCCGAGGCAUCCUUUCAACCUAGCCAAGGCUAGUUGCGUGAUUUAGUCAAAGAUUUUCUUGUUUUAACCUAAAGAUUUAUCACAUUUGAAUUGCUAUAUGAAUGCAAACUGUAGACACCAAAUUUUUACUCUUUUAUUUAUUUAUUUACUAUUUUUGUUUAAUUUAUCUCAAAAUUUCAUUUUUUUAGCAUUUUGGACAUCAAAUCUUUUAAUUUAGUUUUACUUGUUAAUUUUAUUCAUUUUUGCUUAUUUGUCUAUUAGUUUUAAGACGUUUAAGCAUUAAUAUUUUUCGGGAAAAAAGAGAAUUGCUCACAAAAAAAAUAUUCUUUAAAUUUUAGAUUCAAUUUAGGGAGGUUUGCUAUUUAUUUAUUUUGUUAAAAAAAAAAAGGGCUCAUGCACCAUGCGGCACUGGAUCCAAGCUCUUUCUCAAUAUUUCAAGGCAGAAACAAGCUUCAGACAUCACAAAAAAAUUGCAGCUGGCUUUUUCUUCCCAUUUGAUUCGUUACUCAAAGGGUUCCCAGUACAAACGGGAUCAAAGGGCAAGAGCAGGCCACAUAAACCCAUUUCUGGGGUUUGACAUCUCGGCCUUCCAUCGUAGGUUGAGGUUUUGGGGUUCCUUUAAAUGCUAGAGCCGCAGCCAAGAAGGGGGGUAACAACUGACGAAAGAGAGUGGGACGGCUAGGAAAAAUCUGGGACAAAGAAAUAGAGCGGUGGCGGAGACAGAGAGAAAAGAAAAACCAGGGGAAUGAGGAGAGCUUGAGAGGCUAGCGACGGCUGGGAGGUUGAACAGUGGCGAGGUUUUUGAUAGAGAAAGAAACUAAGAAAACGCAGGGCUGUGGGUGGUUGACGGCUAGAAAAGAAAGAGACUAGAGAGAGAGGAGGCUGAGGACGGCUAGGAAAAAGAAACCAGAGAGGAGAAAGGUGCAGCGGCUGGGUCUUGGGAAUCUGGAGCUGACGGCUAGGGUUCUGGACAAGAAAGCUAAGGGUUUCAGAGAAGAUCUGGGGAAGUAAAGGGCGCGUAGAAAGAGAUCUGAAAGGGAGAAAACAGCAGAGGAAAAGGGAAAACGAGGUGCUGCUACCGCUGCAACAAAUCUGCCUGGGCGUUGUUUUUCCCAGAAACCAACGUCACUUUCCUGAGCUUUCCCGUUUGAUUUACUUCACAGACGUUUGCAGGUGACUCUAGCCUUUCUUGCUGCCAUUUUCAUACCAUUUUGUGAAGAUCUGGGGUUCAUUGCAUGAAUUUCCUCCUUGUGCAUGCAUGUUUGUUCCCUUUCUUUGUGGUUUCAUCUCUGGUUCUUUGUAGAAACCCGUGUGGCCAUGUGGUAACUUGUUUCAGCUCUAUAUCUCUGUGUUUGAAUCGUGUGUUGUUAUAGUUCAUGAAAACCCAGGGUAUAGGAAUCAUUUCCAGCCUCCCCUUAGUCGAUGAUUAGUCUUCAUUUUGCCGAAAGGAGGUUGUAGA
This 4215-nucleotide long non-coding RNA is filed under the name Coffea arabica (coffee). Its description in RNAcentral is "long non-coding RNA (CARA_LNC002596)". Lineage: Eukaryota; Viridiplantae; Streptophyta; Magnoliopsida; Gentianales; Rubiaceae. The record is from RNAcentral.